RNAcentral lists this ribosomal RNA (1124 nucleotides) under uncultured bacterium. RNAcentral's name for it is "bacterial SSU rRNA". It matches the Rfam family "Bacterial small subunit ribosomal RNA", at positions 55 to 1162 of the family's 1533-position model. The record is from RNAcentral.
AUUGAUUUUAUGCUUGCAUAAAUGAUUUUUUGGAUUCGGAGCGAGUGGCGAACUGGUGAGUAACACGUGGGUAACCUGCCCCGAAGCGGGGGAUAACAUUUGGGAACAAGUGCUAAUACCGCAUAAUUAGUUGGAACCGCAUGGUUCCAACUUGAAAGAUGGCUCUGCUAUCACUUUGGGAUGGACCCGCGCCGUAUUAGUUAGUUGGUGAGAUAAAAGCCCACCAAGACGAUGAUACGUAGCCGACCUGAGAGGGUAAUCGGCCACAUUGGGACUGAGACACGGCCCAGACUCCUACGGGAGGCACCAGUAGGGAAUCUUCCACAAUGGACGAAAGUCUGAUGGAGCAACGCCGCGUGAGUGAUGAAGGUUUUCGGAUCGUAAAACUCUGUUGUUAAAGAAGAACAAGUGUUAGAGUAACUGUUAACACUUUGACGGUAUUUAACCAGAAAGCCACGGCUAACUACGUGCCAGCAGCCGCGGUAAUACGUAGGUGGCAAGCGUUGUCCGGAUUUAUUGGGCGUAAAGCGAGCGCAGGCGGUUUUGUAAGUCUGCUGUGAAAGCCCUCAGCUCAACUGAGGAAGUGCAGUGGAAACUACGAAACUUGAGUACAGAAGAGGAAAGUGGAACUCCAUGUGUAGCGGUGAAAUGCGUAGAUAUAUGGAAGAACACCAGUGGCGAAGGCGGCUUUCUGGUCUGUUACUGACGCUGAGGCUCGAAAGCAUGGGUAGCGAACAGGAUUAGAUACCCUGGUAGUCCAUGCCGUAAACGAUGAAUACUAGGUGUUGGAGGGUUUCCGCCCUUCAGUGCCGCAGCUAACGCAUUAAGUAUUCCGCCUGGGGAGUACGACCGCAAGGUUGAAACUCAAAGGAAUUGACGGGGGCCCGCACAAGUGGUGGAGCAUGUGGUUUAAUUCGAUGCUACGCGAAGAACCUUACCAGCUCUUGACAUCUUCUGCCAACCCAAGAGAUUGGGCGUUCCCUUCGGGGACAGAAUGACAGGUGGUGCAUGGUUGUCGUCAGCUCGUGUCGUGAGAUGUUGGGUUAAGUCCCGCAACGGGCGCAACCCUUAUUAUUAGUUGCCAGCAUUUAGUUGGGCACUCUAGUGAGACUGCCGGUGAUAAA